UGAAGAAUUUGUCCAACGGCGGGGGAUAGCCGGCCCAACGGCCGGGUAAUACCGCGUACGACCCGUCGGGGGGCAUCCCCUGAAGGUGAAAGCCGCAAGGCGCCGAUGGAGAACUUCGCGGCCUAUCAGCUAGUUGGUGAGGUCAUGGCUCACCAAGGCGACGACGGGUAGCUGGUCCGAGAGGAUGGCCAGCCACAUUGGGACUGAGACACGGCCCAGACCUCCGUACGGGAGCAG
RNAcentral lists this ribosomal RNA (237 nucleotides) under uncultured bacterium. RNAcentral describes it as "partial 16S ribosomal RNA". It matches the Rfam family "Bacterial small subunit ribosomal RNA", at positions 118 to 347 of the family's 1533-position model. The record is from RNAcentral.